This is a long non-coding RNA of Schistocerca serialis cubense, 484 nucleotides long. RefSeq lists it as uncharacterized. Lineage: Eukaryota; Metazoa; Arthropoda; Insecta; Orthoptera; Acrididae. The record is from RefSeq and is a predicted model, not a curated record. The transcript has 2 exons.
UUCAGGAACUACCUGUCCGCCAUCUUGUUCAGAAGUGGUUACACGGUACAUUCGCUGGAAUUAGUAUCGUAAAUUGAUAUUUACACAGAAACUAUCAUUAAAUAUAUUAAGUAAAGCGAACGGUGCGUACUCACCAGAGCUGAUGGGUAGCACUAUUCAGUCAGACAGUACAUAUUUGCGUAUUCUUCAUCAAGGCGAUCCGAUUAGUACACAGGGCAUCAGUCCAUUGAGCCCGACGUAAAUUGAGGAUAAAAAGGAAGAUAUAUAUAUAUUCUCAGCUUCAUCAUCUACGUGAACUUAGAUACAGCCAUUUGGUCACUUUGGUGACGUCAACAUUAUUGCCAACCUUGUGAAUGCACCGAGAGCUAAGUCUUCUGAAAAAUGAACAGUGCAUGUUUGUGGCCACUUUUCACCCAACUGUGUUGCUCACACAGUUGACCUAUCGAUGUUUUACGUUUUAAAAAUAUCUUUUUCAAUAUUAAAA